RNAcentral lists this ribosomal RNA (433 nucleotides) under uncultured bacterium. Its description in RNAcentral is "partial 16S ribosomal RNA". It matches the Rfam family "Bacterial small subunit ribosomal RNA", at positions 29 to 507 of the family's 1533-position model. The record is from RNAcentral.
AACGAACGCUGGCGGCAUGCCUAACACAUGCAAGUCGAACGAGACCUUCGGGUCUAGUGGCGCACGGGUGCGUAACGCGUGGGAAUCUACCCUCAGGUUCGGAAUAACUCAGAGAAAUUUGAGCUAAUACCGGAUGAUGACUUAAGUCCAAAGAUUUAUCGCCUGAGGAUGAGCCCGCUUAGGAUUAGGUAGUUGGUGAGGUAAAGGCUCACCAAGCCGACGAUCCUUAGCUGGUCUGAGAGGAUGAUCAGCCACACUGGGACUGAGACACGGCCCAGACUCCUACGGGAGGCAGCAGUGGGGAAUAUUGGACAAUGGGCGGAAGCCUGAUCCAGCAAUGCCGCGUGAGUGAUGAAGGCCUUAGGGUUGUAAAGCUCUUUUACCCGGGAUGAUAAUGACAGUACCGGGAGAAUAAGCUCCGGCUAACUCCGUG